Molecule: long non-coding RNA, 621 nt
Organism: Oreochromis aureus
Lineage: Eukaryota; Metazoa; Chordata; Actinopteri; Cichliformes; Cichlidae
Source: Ensembl
AAGACAUUCAUGUAACAAAUUGACCUCUUACCGCAACCAUGGCCUUGAGUGACAAGAAGACCAGUCUUAAGGCAGCAUUGUUAGUACAGGCUGGAUCCCACACAGAGUGUGCAUGUCUACAGUGAGGAGGAACUCUUCAACCUUGAAAGUUUAUUGGUCACAGAGGACAUGGUACAUAAGAUUGAGACAGCAAAAGGAGAACAGACAGCUGACCAGGAAUGGCAUCAGCUCAACAACGCAAGGAUCACAUCUUCAUCUUGUUAUGUGAGGUGUGAAAUUGUACAGAGAAUGCUCUAUUUUGAGACAUAUGUCAGAAUACUGGAGAACAAGGAGAACAAAAUAUUUGACACCAUUAUUGUGCCCACUCUAUCAGAUGAGCUAUCUGAUCUCCAAGUGAACUGAUUUGUACUGUGAAAACAUUUUAUGCUAGUAUUCUGACGUGGGCGUCAGAAUACUUUCAAAACACAUUGGCAUAAUGGUUCCAGUCAUCUCAUGAGAGAGCCAUAUCCCAAAUGGAUCAAUUUCAUGAUGUUCUGCCAAUUUUUCACAGUUCAGCAACAGGUAGUUGAGGUAACUUCAGCUUGUUUAGCUUUUAUUCAGUGUUUGUGUUAUAAAUGUCAU